GGAGGGGUACCAAAGUGGCCAAAUGGGGCGGACUGUAAAUCCGUUGCGAAAGCUUCGAAGGUUCGAAUCCUUCCCCCUCCACCA
This 84-nucleotide transfer RNA is filed under the name Alicyclobacillus acidoterrestris. RNAcentral describes it as "tRNA-Tyr". It matches the Rfam family "tRNA". Rfam says of the family: Transfer RNA (tRNA) molecules are approximately 80 nucleotides in length. Lineage: Bacteria; Bacillati; Bacillota; Bacilli; Caryophanales; Alicyclobacillaceae. RNAcentral also lists the same sequence under 6 other names. The record is from RNAcentral.